This 201-nucleotide long non-coding RNA is filed under the name Gossypium raimondii (Peruvian cotton). RNAcentral's name for it is "long non-coding RNA (GRAI_LNC006092)". Lineage: Eukaryota; Viridiplantae; Streptophyta; Magnoliopsida; Malvales; Malvaceae. The record is from RNAcentral.
CAAAGAAAGGGGGGAGGCUUCAUCAUUGUAAUCGGGUCUUUUCCUUUUCUUUUGUAACAUUUUCACAACACAAUAGUUAAUGAAAAAAGGCAGAGAAAACAUUGAAAGGUUGAUUCAGACUUUUUAUUCUUUUUUUCUGUUCGUUUUUAUAUUUGUUUGUUUUUUUUAUAUACGAAUUUAUCUCAACAAACGAAAUAAAAA